UUCUGUCGAGCCAUGGUCUUGAUUUCUGAGUCCCAAUGUUGAAACUAGAUAAAUGAAUGUUUUAUGCAUAGGCAUUUUAAUAACGUACACAAUUCGAUUCUCCUCAAAAACUGUAGCCAAUAAACGCAGAAGCCUCUCCUGGCAUUUUACUAUACAUAUAGUGAUUGUAGUCUUACUCUCAUCUAUGAUCUAUGGCCUAUGCUGCUUUAUUCCUGCAAUCGCAUAUCUCGAAAACUGCUGAGCAGUCGCUGUCAGCACGAACUGUACAAUGUUGAUUUAUGGGGAAGCCGAGUCACUGCAAGCGUGGAACUCUGUGGACGUCCACGACGUCAACAGCCGCUGGCUGCAGAACGGCCGCGUGAUCAAUGUGGCGAAGGGGGGUCUGAUCGUGGAUUUCGAAUGUGCGACACAGCGCGCACAGUUUGUCGAAUACGGGUGUAUGACGCGCUGCCGGUACCUCUCGUACACAGAAAGCUUCGGACCGCCGGAGGUGUUGGUGCUGCUGCGACGACAGCCCGACCGGGCGUGGGUGUGGUAUCCGGGGAAGUUAGUCGGGCUGGGAGAGUGCUGCCCGACGGGUUGGCAGUGCGUGGACGUGUCCAUGCCACAGGGGACCGUCAGAGAACUGGUUCCACAAGUCCGUCCUGUCCUCAUGGAGGAUGAUCUGCAGGGGUUGCGCGUGGUUAAGGGUGAUUUCGUGAUCCGCAGCUGUCCGCUGCCGCGCUCCUUCUGGUGCGACGGUUCCCAGUUGGUCCAGGAGAUCUUUAAGUGCAAUUUGAGCCUACGGCACGAUGUCUGGUGCACGGUGGUGCUCAGCCAGACGCUUCUCUAUCUGCAGUGGCGGGGCGACAAUCCGUUGACGCGUGAACAAGUCAAACGAGAGUACAAGACAUCGAAGAUCGAUGGAAUAGCUGAAUUUUCAUUGCGGACAGCUCGAUGGUUGCACCGUCAUACGACUCUUUACACACGCGACAAGGAACGCAAGAUCGGGAGCAACAAGAAUGCAGCGAGCCUGCUGUUGCCACCCGAUCGAGAUUAUGGUACAGAUUCUCCAGCCCCUGGACUCCGUCGAGCGCAGCCGCUGUUGACGGGUGUGCCCAAUGUUCGACAGCCUCCUCACCAGCGCCAUCCACUUUCCCGACGUGCACGUCACCGGCCGGUCGGUGGAUCCUGACCGGGCGCUCUUGAGCGGCCUGUACUGGACGGUGGCCUGCUUACUGAAAUGGCUUAGCCAGGACACCAGCACGCUGAUCAUCACCGGGCUGGGCGUGCGGGACAGCCGGCGCAUGAUGUCGCUUAUCCGCUAUAGUCUACCGGCUCCACGCAUUGGUUGGCUGGUGUUCGACGAUUGCCGGUUUUUCAUGGAUUAUGUCGAUGAGGGCCAGCAUGAGGCUGAUGGCGCCAUCGAAGACGAUGACAGUCUGGCCGGGGAUUUAGCCUUGUGUGACCGGAUGGUGUGGAAGAACUGCCACAUCUCGGACGAUUAUUUGCAAGCAUUUGUAGCGCGGCAUGUGUUCGAGGCUCCGUCGCGGCAAGAGCUGGAUCGUGAACUGUGGGAUGUGUUUGAGAAGAGUCUCGUUCUCCCGGAGCCGGUCAAUUUGCCGGCUUUGUCCCUGUGGGUUGCUGGUCGUGUUGCUGACCACCAGAAACAGCAGAUAGCAAUGUUUUCCGUAACAAUAUUUGGCGUGCACCAGCUAUGCGAAAUGCACUUCAGGAAAAUAGCCCGGUAUAUAUUGUCACAAAUGGAUUACAUACACUCAAACUUUCGCUUUCCUUUUUAUGUCAUUUUAUAGCCAAUUGAUUUGUACAAUGUUCUGAAAGCCCUUAUCUCGGCAUCCGAAUGUUGCGCGCGCAGUCUACUUUAUGGCCUUAUCACCUUUAUGUCCUUUACAUCCAAGUUUCAAGAAGAUCAAUUCGCCAUAUCUCGGCAACCGGAUGAUGCGCGCGCAAACGGUUUUCAGAACAAGACUCCAUACAAUAAGCUGGUCCUGGACUUAUACCAGAGCGCGGAUCCGCGCCUGUCCACGGCUUACCGCGGGCGGCAGUGGAUGCUGUCCGAUAUUUGCGAUCUGGAUGUCAGCAGGCUGACCACGUUGACUGUGGCUGUUUUGAACGUCAUUAGACCAGUCUACAUCACCUGAAAACUGAGGAGAAAACAUUGGCUUCUUUCGGACUUCAGAUUGUACUAUUGUGUAAGCACGUUCCUCUUACCUAGCUAUUUGGCUACAAUAAUGUGCAACAUCAUCGGAUUCUGCUUAUUUUUAUCGUAUUCUGUCUAAUGUAUAGUGAAUCAAUGACCUCUUUGUUCUGAUGGCUUUGUGCAUGACGUGGCCUUGUGGCGUAUUAGUGUACAGUAGAGAGUGAACACGUAUAGCAAUAAUUGUGUG
RNA transcript from Paramacrobiotus metropolitanus, 2387 nucleotides. RefSeq lists it as uncharacterized. NCBI's taxonomy places the organism in Eukaryota, Metazoa, Tardigrada, Eutardigrada, Parachela, Macrobiotidae. The record is from RefSeq and is a predicted model, not a curated record. The transcript has 5 exons.